GCCAGUGUGGCUCAGGGGAUAGAGCAUUGUUCUGCAGACCAGAGGGUCCCGGGUUCGAUUCCAGGCAAGGGCA
RNAcentral lists this transfer RNA (73 nucleotides) under Myotis lucifugus (little brown bat). It matches the Rfam family "tRNA". Rfam says of the family: Transfer RNA (tRNA) molecules are approximately 80 nucleotides in length. Their secondary structure includes four short double-helical elements and three loops (D, anti-codon, and T loops). Lineage: Eukaryota; Metazoa; Chordata; Mammalia; Chiroptera; Vespertilionidae. The record is from Rfam by way of RNAcentral.